This 253-nucleotide ribosomal RNA is filed under the name uncultured bacterium. RNAcentral's name for it is "partial 16S ribosomal RNA". It matches the Rfam family "Bacterial small subunit ribosomal RNA", at positions 524 to 776 of the family's 1533-position model. The record is from RNAcentral.
UACGUAGGGUGCGAGCGUUGUCCGGAAUUACUGGGCGUAAAGAGCUCGUAGGUGGUUUGUCGCGUUGUUCGUGAAAACUCACAGCUCAACUGUGGGCGUGCGGGCGAUACGGGCAGACUGGAGUACUGCAGGGGAGACUGGAAUUCUCGGUGUAGCGGUGAAAUGCGUAGAUAUCGAGAGGAACACCUGCGGCGAAGGCGGGUUGCUGGGCUGACACUGACGCUGAUGCGCGAAGGCCAGGGGAGCGAACGGG